CUCGAUAGAAGGCGGAAAAAGCCGGAAAAAUUACAAGCGUUAGCUGCGCUACUAAGGUUAAUAAACCCCAACAGCUAGUUGACAUCGUUUAGGGCGUGGACUACCAGGGUAUCUAAUCCUGUUUGCUCCCCACGCUUUCGUGCAUGAGCGUCAGUAUCAUCCCAGGGGGCUGCCUUCGCCAUCGGUAUUCCUCCACAUCUCUACGCAUUUCACUGCUACACGUGGAAUUCUACCCCCCUCUGACGUACUCUAGCCCGGCAGUUAAAAGUGCAGUUCCAAGGUUAAGCCCUGGGAUUUCACACCUUUCUUUCCGAACCGCCUGCGCACGCUUUACGCCCAGUAAUUCCGAUUAACGCUUGCACCCUACGUAUUACCGCGGCUGCUGGCACGUAGUUAGCCGGUGCUUAUUCUGCAGGUACCGUCAGUCGCCCAGGGUAUUCGCCCAGGCUGUUUCUUCCCUGCCAAAAGUGCUUUACAACCCGAAGGCCUUCAUCGCACACGCGGGAUGGCUGGAUCAGGGUUGCCCCCAUUGUCCAAAAUUCCCAACUGCUCUCCCCCCGUAAGGA
Molecule: ribosomal RNA, 566 nt
Filed under: Castellaniella sp. enrichment culture DGGE band 7
Lineage: Bacteria; Pseudomonadati; Pseudomonadota; Betaproteobacteria; Burkholderiales; Alcaligenaceae
Description: partial 16S ribosomal RNA
Source: RNAcentral